AAAUAAGAAGCAAUAUGUGCAUUUAGUUUCGACCUAAAAAAAUUGAUUAUAAAAUCCUUAUUUU
Molecule: transfer RNA, 64 nt
Filed under: Sphaeroderma rubidum
Lineage: Eukaryota; Metazoa; Arthropoda; Insecta; Coleoptera; Chrysomelidae
Description: tRNA-Arg
Source: RNAcentral